AUGAGUCGAGUUGGAUUGAUCCCCUCGUAGAUUACAUAUCUAAAGAAGUUCUACCCAAUGAUCUAGCCAAAGCCAGAAGUAUUAAAAGAUAAGCUUCAUGGUAUGUUCUUCAAGAAGGCUACUUAUAUAAAAAGUCUUAUUCUCUUCCUCUACUUUAAUGCUUGACACUAUAUGAAACUGACUACGCACUUCAAGAAGUGCAUGAGGAGAUAUGUGAAAACUAUCUGGGGG
Molecule: long non-coding RNA, 231 nt
Filed under: Elaeis guineensis (African oil palm)
Lineage: Eukaryota; Viridiplantae; Streptophyta; Magnoliopsida; Arecales; Arecaceae
Description: long non-coding RNA (EGUI_LNC033344)
Source: RNAcentral